CAAGGACACAAUUCAGCCCCGCGCCUGCCCGCAGAGGAGGGAACCACAUUCUUCCAGAGCUGCACGUGCCCCAAACCUCUCUCAGGGGAAAAAGGAGAAAAGAACAGAUACUCCCGAAAAUCAAAGGUUUGAUGAUCCAAAACAAAAAAAGACCUCAGCCUGACCUUGUGGAGCCUUCUUUCUGGGAAGUUAAAGAAUUUCCAGGAUUAGCUCAAGUCCUGAGGCUGCCAACUGUGACCAUCUACAAAGCUCUCUUAGGUUUCAUCCAGUGCUGGUCCCAGGGGUCCCUCCGCUUGACAGUGUCUGAGGAGUCUCAGGUCACAGAUUCAAGCUCUGCUGGCCAGGAGGAGUAUUUACUUGUCUUCACUCUCACCGAGGAAAGUUAACAUCAGAACACAAGUGUUCCAGGCGACCUCACUCAGGAAAACCCAGUGGCGUGUGCCAACAGACACAGUCCGGAGUGGGCAAGGACAAAGGCCUGAAUGGGAAGACUUAGCACACAAAACAAAACUGCAACCAGGGAAGCGCUGAGUGUGAACAUCUAGGAAAUACACAAGUAGGUUUUAAAUAAAUAACUGGAACUUUAAGGCUGUUUCCACGGUCCCAGACCCACAGUGUAGUUAUGACUCAUCUCAGCAACAACAUCCAUGACAAUGGGUUUCCACGAAGCUAGCUGAGGAAAUUUUAAGAACAAUUCCAAGGAACUUUUCAUUCAAGGACUCCGAAAUGAUACAGGGGAAGGGAAGGAGAGAGGGAGAGAAACAUCAAAGUAUGGUUCCCGGAACUGGCCUGUAACCCAGGCAUGUGCCCUGACUGGGGAUCGAAACUCAAUCCUCUGGUUUACAGGCCUGCACUCAAUCCACUGAGCUACACCAGCCAGGUCCCUUUCAGAAAACACCCAUUCAUGGAUGAGAAAACCAAGGGCCAGAGAUGUCCAAAGAAGCCAGCAGAAACGAUUUGCAUAUCCUGGCCAGCUCAUCAGCAGACAAUGACAUCUCUGAGCAACUGUUCCUGGAAAGUGACAUAAGUGUCAUCAUCGGAUGAUUUGUAUGCUAGACUAGGACCAGAGUGCACCCCCACAAGCGUCUCCUCUGUCCUUGCGCUAUCCAACCCUGCCCAGCCCUCUCCGUCCAUCCUGGAAGAUCAUGGUCACAGAAAAAUUAUCCUGCAUGAAAAGGAGCUAUAAAACUGCUUUCUAAACAUGACUGUCAUGUGCCAGCGGGGCCCAGCGAUGGGUAGGAGGUCUUUCAGACGCCUGGGGGAGAUGCUGACCUCUGGUUCUAGAGGAAAAGCAAAGUUCUCUUUAUCGAA
Long non-coding RNA from Artibeus jamaicensis (Jamaican fruit-eating bat), 1311 nucleotides. RefSeq lists it as uncharacterized. The record is from RefSeq and is a predicted model, not a curated record. NCBI's taxonomy places the organism in Eukaryota, Metazoa, Chordata, Mammalia, Chiroptera, Phyllostomidae. The transcript is spliced from 7 exons.